This is a long non-coding RNA of Colias croceus (clouded yellow), 466 nucleotides long. RefSeq lists it as uncharacterized. Lineage: Eukaryota; Metazoa; Arthropoda; Insecta; Lepidoptera; Pieridae. The transcript has 2 exons. The record is from RefSeq and is a predicted model, not a curated record.
UUAUCAAGGAACAUUUGCGUGUUACUGCCAGUAUGGUUAAGCAUUUUAUUUUUAAUUUCAUUGCUAUUCACGUUUUAAUCGGCUGUAUAAAGUUUACAUCGGUUUGUGGUAGAACAAUAAAUGAAUUUAAUAAAAAUGAUUUCAAAAGCAAACACGCAAAUACAGAUGGAAAUUUUCUCAUUAAAUGUGAAAACGAUCGUGGAAUAUGUAUUAAAAGCGGGUCAUGCCCUUGGAAUCGAUUGAUUGACAAAAAUGAUGACUGCUGGAAGACAAAUAAGAACCGCGUGUGCUGUGAAGUAUUGCAUGUGCGGAUUCCCUAUGAUAUGUUCCGUCAGUAUGGAUGAUACAUACCUAAUAUACCUAUUACUUGUUUAAACAUUUUGUUCUUUCCUUGUUAAAAUUAUAUUUCAAACACAAAUGUAUUCGCCUGGUAAAUGAGGCAUUAAAUUAGAUACUAAAACAUUAA